GCUGGGCGUGGUGGCUCACGCCUGUAAUCCCAGCACUUUGGGAGGCCGAGGCGGGUGGAUCACCUGAGGUCAGGAGUUCAAGACCAGCCUGACCAACAUGGAGAAACCCCGUCUCUA
RNAcentral lists this non-coding RNA (117 nucleotides) under Pan troglodytes (chimpanzee). The record is from Rfam by way of RNAcentral. Lineage: Eukaryota; Metazoa; Chordata; Mammalia; Primates; Hominidae.